This 887-nucleotide ribosomal RNA is filed under the name Metarhizium guniujiangense. RNAcentral describes it as "partial large subunit ribosomal RNA". It matches the Rfam family "Eukaryotic large subunit ribosomal RNA", at positions 37 to 954 of the family's 3401-position model. Lineage: Eukaryota; Fungi; Ascomycota; Sordariomycetes; Hypocreales; Clavicipitaceae. The record is from RNAcentral.
AGCAUAUCAAUAAGCGGAGGAAAAGAAACCAACAGGGAUUGCCCCAGUAACGGCGAGUGAAGCGGCAACAGCUCAAAUUUGAAAUCUGGCCCCUAGGGCCCGAGUUGUAAUUUGCAGAGGAUGCUUUUGGCGAGGUGCCUUCCGAGUUCCCUGGAACGGGACGCCAUAGAGGGUGAGAGCCCCGUCUGGUUGGAUGCCGAGCCUUUGUAAAGCUCCUUCGACGAGUCGAGUAGUUUGGGAAUGCUGCUCUAAAUGGGAGGUAUAUGUCUUCUAAAGCUAAAUACCGGCCAGAGACCGAUAGCGCACAAGUAGAGUGAUCGAAAGAUGAAAAGCACUUUGAAAAGAGGGUUAAAUAGUACGUGAAAUUGUUGAAAGGGAAGCGCUUAUGACCAGACUUGGACCCGGUGAAUCAUCCAGCGUUCUCGCUGGUGCACUUUGCCGGGCUCAGGCCAGCAUCAGUUUGCCUUGGGGGAUAAAGGCUUUGGGAACGUGGCUCCCUCGGGAGUGUUAUAGCCCAUUGCACAAUACCCUGGGGCGGACUGAGGUUCGCGCAUCUGCAAGGAUGCUGGCGUAAUGGUCAUCAGCGACCCGUCUUGAAACACGGACCAAGGAGUCGUCUUCGUAUGCGAGUGUUCGGGUGUAAAACCCCUACGCGUAAUGAAAGUGAACGCAGGUGAGAGCUUCGGCGCAUCAUCGACCGAUCCUGAUGUUCUCGGAUGGAUUUGAGUAAGAGCAUACGGGGCCGGACCCGAAAGAAGGUGAACUAUGCCUGUAUAGGGUGAAGCCAGAGGAAACUCUGGUGGAGGCUCGCAGCGGUUCUGACGUGCAAAUCGAUCGUCAAAUAUGGGCAUGGGGGCGAAAGACUAAUCGAACCUUCUAGUAGCUGG